RNAcentral lists this small RNA (597 nucleotides) under Pan troglodytes (chimpanzee). RNAcentral describes it as "retained intron". The record is from RNAcentral. Lineage: Eukaryota; Metazoa; Chordata; Mammalia; Primates; Hominidae.
GCUCCUUUUCUAUAGCUUCAACAGAAAUAGCAAUAAGAGUUCUCUUUUAUUUAGACAAAACAUAAUUUAGUCUAUUUGUCUGUUUAUAUUGUCUUUUUACUGAAUAUCUAACAGAUAUUGGCCACGUCUUUUCUCUAGGUUAACAUUGAUGCAGUGCCUAUCAUUUGCACACAUACACUUAACCAUAUUUCCUAUUGAUUUUCUCUUUCAGAAUCAGAGAAUGCCGAGUGGUCCUGGUUGAAGGUAAAGCCAGAGGCUGUGCCUAUCCAGCUCCUUACUUGGAUGAAUAUGGAGAAACAGACCCUGGCCUGAAGAGGGGCAACCCCCUUCAUUUAUCUCGUGAGCGGUAUCGGAAGCUCCAUUUGGUCUGGCAACAACACUGCAUUAUAGAAGAGAUUGCUAGGAGCCAAGAGACUAAUCAGAUGUUAUUUGGAUUCAACUGGCAGUUACUGUGAGCUCCAACUCUGCCUCAAGACAAUCACAAAUGACGACAGUAGUAAAGGCUGAUUCAAAAUUAUGGAAAACUUUCUGAGGGCUGGGAAAGUAUUGGAGGGUCUUUUGCUCCAUGUCCAGGUUCACUUACAUCAAUAAAAUAUU